GUACGUAACUGACGUGAGGUUAAUCCAGUCAAUCCAUAGCAGCUAGGCCAGCCAGCCAGCCAGGUAGAAAAAUGGCGAACAUUUAGAAGAAGACGGACAUCAAGAGUAUUUGUCAGUACACCAAAACGCAUAGCAGAGCAGGCAACAGAUGGCACACAGACAGCAGAGCUGGG
Molecule: long non-coding RNA, 173 nt
Organism: Salvelinus sp. IW2-2015
Lineage: Eukaryota; Metazoa; Chordata; Actinopteri; Salmoniformes; Salmonidae
Source: RefSeq, a predicted model, not a curated record